Molecule: non-coding RNA, 76 nt
Organism: Caenorhabditis elegans
Lineage: Eukaryota; Metazoa; Nematoda; Chromadorea; Rhabditida; Rhabditidae
Source: Ensembl
UGUAGGCUUAGGCUUAGGCUUGGGGAUAGGCUUAGGCUUUGGUUUAGGCUUAGCUUUAGGUUUAGGCUUAGGCUUA